GGAAACCGGAGCUAAUACCGGAUAAUAUAUUGAACCGCAUGGUUCAAUAGUGAAAGACGGUUUUGCUGUCACUUAUAGAUGGAUCCGCGCCGCAUUAGCUAGUUGGUAAGGUAACGGCUUACCAAGGCAACGAUGCGUAGCCGACCUGAGAGGGUGAUCGGCCACACUGGAACUGAGACACGGUCCAGACUCCUACGGGAGGCAGCAGUAGGGAAUCUUCCGCAAUGGGCGAAAGCCUGACGGAGCAACGCCGCGUGAGUGAUGAAGGUCUUCGGAUCGUAAAACUCUGUUAUUAGGGAAGAACAAAUGUGUAAGUAACUGUGCACGUCUUGACGGUACCUAAUCAGAAAGCCACGGCUAACUACGUGCCAGCAGCCGCGGUAAUACGUAGGUGGCAAGCGUUAUCCGGAAUUAUUGGGCGUAAAGCGCGCGUAGGCGGUUUUUUAAGUCUGAUGUGAAAGCCCACGGCUCAACCGUGGAGGGUCAUUGGAAACUGGAAAACUUGAGU
Molecule: ribosomal RNA, 508 nt
Filed under: Staphylococcus sp.
Lineage: Bacteria; Bacillati; Bacillota; Bacilli; Caryophanales; Staphylococcaceae
Description: bacterial SSU rRNA
Rfam family: Bacterial small subunit ribosomal RNA
Source: RNAcentral